UUAAGUUAAUAAGGGCGCACGGUGGAUGCCUUGGCACUAGGAGCCGACGAAGGACGUGACAAACGACGAUAUGCCUUGGGUAGCUGUAAGUAAGCGAUGAUCCAGGGAUUUCCGAAUGGGGGAACCCAACAGGUAGUACCUGUUACCCACAUCUGUUAGGGAUGUGAGGAGGAAGACGCAGUGAACUGAAACAUCUAAGUAGCUGCAGGAAGAGAAAGCAAAAGCGAUUGCCUUAGUAGCGGCGAGCGAAACGGCAGGAGGGCAAACCGAAGAGUUUACUCUUCGGGGUUGUAGGACUGCAAUGUGGACUCAAAGAUUAUAGAAGAAUGAUUUGGGAAGAUCAGCCAAAGAGAGUAAUAGCCUCGUAUUUAAAAUAGUCUUUGUACCUAGCAGUAUCCUGAGUACGGCGGGAACGUGAAAUCCCGUCGGAAUCUGGGAGGACCAUCUCCCAACCCUAAAUACUCCCUAGUGACCGAUAGUGAACCAGUACCGUGAGGGAAAGGUGAAAAGCACCCCGGGAGGGGAGUGAAAUAGAACCUGAAACCGUGUGCCUACAACAAGUUCGAGCCCGGUUAAUGGGUGAGAGCGUGCCUUUUGUAGAAUGAACCGGCGAGUUACGUUAUGAUGCGAGGUUAAGUUGAAGAGACGGAGCCGUAGGGAAACCGAGUCUGAAUAGGGCGCCUUAGUAUCAUGACGUAGACCCGAAACCAUGUGACCUACCCAUGAGCAGGUUGAAGGUGCGGUAAGACGCACUGGAGGACCGAACCAGGGCACGUUGAAAAGUGCUUGGAUGACUUGUGGGUAGCGGAGAAAUUCAAAAGAACUUGGAGAUAGCUGGUUCUCUCCGAAAUAGCUUUAGGGCUAGCGUCGACAUUAGAGAUUCUUGGAGGUAGAGCACUGUUUGGGUGAGGGGUCCAUCCCGGAUUACCAAUCUCAGAUAAACUCCGAAUGCCAAUGAAUUAUGGUCGGCAGUCAGACUGCGAGUGCUAAGAUCCGUAGUCGAAAGGGAAACAGCCCAGACCACCAGCUAAGGUCCCAAAAUAAUUGUUAAGUGGAAAAGGAUGUGGGGUUGCACAGACAACUAGGAUGUUAGCUUAGAAGCAGCUAUUCAUUCAAAGAGUGCGUAAUAGCUCACUAGUCGAGUGACCCUGCGCCGAAAAUGUACCGGGGCUAAAACAAUUUACCGAAGCUGUGGAUACCUUUAUAGGUAUGGUAGGAGAGCGUUCUAUGUGUGAUGAAGGUAUACCGUGAGGAGUGCUGGAACGCAUAGAAGUGAGAAUGCCGGUAUGAGUAGCGAAAGACAGGUGAGAAUCCUGUCCACCGUAAGACUAAGGUUUCCAGGGGAAGGCUCGUCCGCCCUGGGUUAGUCGGGACCUAAGGAGAGACCGAAAGGUGUAUCCGAUGGACAACAGGUUGAUAUUCCUGUACUAGAGUAUGUAGUGAUGGAGGGACGCAGUAGGCUAACUAAAGCAGACGAUUGGAAGAGUCUGUCUAAGCAGUGAGGUGUGAAUUGAGUCAAAUGCUUAAUUCUAUAACAUUGAGCUGUGAUGGGGAGCGAAGUUUAGUAGCGAAGUUAGUGACGUCACACUGCCAAGAAAAGCUUCUAGCGUUUAAACAUACUCUACCCGUACCGCAAACCGACACAGGUAGUCGAGGCGAGUAGCCUCAGGUGAGCGAGAGAACUCUCGUUAAGGAACUCGGCAAAAUGACCCCGUAACUUCGGGAGAAGGGGUGCUGACUUAAAAUCAGCCGCAGUGAAUAGGCCCAAGCAACUGUUUAUCAAAAACACAGCUCUCUGCUAAAUCGUAAGAUGAUGUAUAGGGGGUGACGCCUGCCCGGUGCUGGAAGGUUAAGAGGAGUGCUUAGCGUAAGCGAAGGUAUGAAUUGAAGCCCCAGUAAACGGCGGCCGUAACUAUAACGGUCCUAAGGUAGCGAAAUUCCUUGUCGGGUAAGUUCCGACCCGCACGAAAGGCGUAAUGAUUUGGGCACUGUCUCAACGAGAGACUCGGUGAAAUUUUAGUACCUGUGAAGAUGCAGGUUACCCGCGACAGGACGGAAAGACCCCAUGGAGCUUUACUGCAGUUUGAUAUUGAGUGUCUGUACCACAUGUACAGGAUAGGUAGGAGUCUAAGAGAUCGGGACGCCAGUUUCGAAGGAGACGCUGUUGGGAUACUACCCUUGUGUUAUGGCCACUCUAACCCAGAUAGGUGAUCCCUAUCGGAGACAGUGUCUGACGGGCAGUUUGACUGGGGGGUCGCCUCCUAAAAGGUAACGGAGGCGCCCAAAGGUUCCCUCAGAAUGGUUGGAAAUCAUUCGCAGAGUGUAAAGGUAUAAGGGAGCUUGACUGCGAGAGCUACAACUCGAGCAGGGACGAAAGUCGGGCUUAGUGAUCCGGUGGUUCCGUAUGGAAGGGCCAUCGCUCAACGGAUAAAAGCUACCCUGGGGAUAACAGGCUUAUCUCCCCCAAGAGUUCACAUCGACGGGGAGGUUUGGCACCUCGAUGUCGGCUCGUCGCAUCCUGGGGCUGUAGUCGGUCCCAAGGGUUGGGCUGUUCGCCCAUUAAAGCGGCACGCGAGCUGGGUUCAGAACGUCGUGAGACAGUUCGGUCCCUAUCCGUCGCGGGCGUAGGAAAUUUGAGAGGAUCUGCUCCUAGUACGAGAGGACCAGAGUGGACUUACCGCUGGUGUACCAGUUGUCUUGCCAAAGGCAUCGCUGGGUAGCUAUGUAGGGAAGGGAUAAACGCUGAAAGCAUCUAAGUGUGAAACCCACCUCAAGAUGAGAUUUCCCAUGAUUAUAUAUCAGUAAGAGCCCUGAGAGAUGAUCAGGUAGAUAGGUUAGAAGUGGAAGUGUGGCGACACAUGUAGCGGACUAAUACUAAUAGCUCGAGGACUUAUCCAA
Molecule: ribosomal RNA, 2898 nt
Filed under: Streptococcus pneumoniae
Lineage: Bacteria; Bacillati; Bacillota; Bacilli; Lactobacillales; Streptococcaceae
Description: bacterial LSU rRNA
Rfam family: Bacterial large subunit ribosomal RNA
Source: RNAcentral